GACGAACGCUGGCGGCGUGCUUAACACAUGCAAGUCGAACGGAAAGGCCUGCUUUCCCUUGUGGAUUGCGGGUACUCGAGUGGCGAACGGGUGAGUAACACGUGAGUGAUCUGCCCCCAACUUGGGUAUAAGCCUGGGAAACUGGGUCUAAUUCCCGAUAGGACUGCAGGGUGGUGCCUGUGGUGGAAAACGAUUUUCUAGUGGUUGGGGAUGAGCUCGCGGCCUAUCAGCUUGUUGGUGGGGUGAUGGCCUACCAAGGCGGCGACGGGUAGCCGGCCUGAGAGGGUGGACGGCCACAUUGGGACUGAGAUACGGCCCAGACUCCUACGGGAGGCAGCAGUGGGGAAUAUUGCACGAUGAGCGGAAGCCUGAUGCAGCGACGCCGCGUGGGGGAUGACGGCCGUCGGGUUGUAAACUCCUUUCGACCGCGAGGAAGCCACCUGGUUGGAAGGGUGGUGACGGUAGUGGUAGAAGAAGCACCGGCUAACUACGUG
Molecule: ribosomal RNA, 494 nt
Filed under: uncultured bacterium
Lineage: Bacteria
Description: partial 16S ribosomal RNA
Rfam family: Bacterial small subunit ribosomal RNA
Source: RNAcentral